Molecule: long non-coding RNA, 1338 nt
Organism: Anguilla rostrata (American eel)
Lineage: Eukaryota; Metazoa; Chordata; Actinopteri; Anguilliformes; Anguillidae
Exons: 6
Source: RefSeq, a predicted model, not a curated record
CUGGAGCGAGACAGACGCCAGGACACUCUGGAGCGAGACAGACGCCAGGACACUCUGGAGCGAGACUGACGCCCGCCUCUUCCGGCUCGACCCCGCGACCCUGACGCUGGGUACCCCCGACCUUUGACCCCGGUCGGAACGACACCUGGAGAUAUUCGGGCGAAAUUGCGACGUGCCGAGAGACGCCUGCUCUGCCUGCUCUCCUCCGUCUCAGACGCGCUCCUUCACACCUCCGUUCUGCGAGCCGUUUCCCGUCUCUCCGUCUGACUCACAGGCAUGCUGUGCGAUCCUGGGUAAGGCGCAUGGACCUGUGGGCCGCGGUCGACAGUGGGAACUGUGUGAUGAAACAUCAUCUCAGUCAGCUGAACCCCAUCCCACCCCCCCCCCAACCCACCAGGAGACGUUACCCUCAAUUAUGCAUUGCCCUCUGGGCCACUUUCUUUCUGUGUACUGGCGGCCUUUCUGUCGGUGCGAACACUCGCACCAUGGUGCUAACGAGGGGAGCUGGAUCACCGGCACUUCUGGAGGACCAGAGCUUCAGCGCCUGACUGGGAGCUUGAUGGGCAUGAUCUGCACCCCCCCUCAACCCCCUGCCCCCCCCCUCAAGCACCUGGGGCACCAGGCGGGUGGAAUCUGACCAAUCAGGGACAUCAAGGACCAAUCAGGUAGAAAAGAACACCGGCUGUGCUUCCAGGUCCAGAUCUGAGUAUCUAGGCUGUAAAACAGAGCUACUCAAACUCCUGCUCCUGGAGGGCCACAGCUCUGCUGGUCUCCAUCCUUACUGAGCCUUCAACUGAUCAACUAAAGCAGCAGAAUAUGCAGUAAACUCGCCUCACCUGCUUUCUGGGCUCUGAACCAGUUGGUGAUUACCGGGUGAAAACUACACCUGCCUUCCAGGUCCGGAGGGAACCGUCCUAUUGGCCUCCAGGGGUGAGAGAAGGCGUGUCCUAAGAUUCUGAACCAAUGGGAUUUGUGCGUGCACUCUGACGAAACUACGGCAAGGUCAAAAGGGUUGAACCGUUCUUUUCACCCCAACUUGAAUCAAAGCGCUGAGCUGCUCAGGAGCAAACCCACACCCCCCCCCCCCCCAGGCUCCUGGUGCUAGUUUUCACCCUAAUAAUGGCUGAGGAAUGAGCUCCAGAUAUGGAUCGUCUUCAGGAUUUGCUGGUUUAAAAUUACGUUCACGGUUCAGCCUCGGUACGGCUUUCCCUGAGCUAAUCAGUCUAGCGAACACUUCCUGGUUCUGCAUGCAAAUCGUACGCAGGACUGAAGUGGCGGUUUUGGCGGUUUCCCGGGGCUCGUUGGCUUAUGGGGCCGAUGCACCUCGCGGGACGUUAG